This 253-nucleotide ribosomal RNA is filed under the name uncultured bacterium. RNAcentral's name for it is "partial 16S ribosomal RNA". It matches the Rfam family "Bacterial small subunit ribosomal RNA", at positions 524 to 776 of the family's 1533-position model. The record is from RNAcentral.
UACGAAGGGUGCAAGCGUUACUCGGAAUUACUGGGCGUAAAGCGUGCGCAGGCGGUUAUGUAAGACAGGUGUGAAAUCCCCGGGCUCAACCUGGGAACUGCAUCUGUGACUGCAUAGCUAGAGUACGGUAGAGGGGGAUGGAAUUCCGCGUGUAGCAGUGAAAUGCGUAGAUAUGCGGAGGAACACCGAUGGCGAAGGCAAUCCCCUGGACCUGUACUGACGCUCAUGCACGAAAGCGUGGGGAGCAAACAGG